Molecule: unclassified non-coding RNA, 297 nt
Filed under: Hevea brasiliensis (rubber tree)
Lineage: Eukaryota; Viridiplantae; Streptophyta; Magnoliopsida; Malpighiales; Euphorbiaceae
Source: RNAcentral
UCUUCACGUCCAUGAGAACCAACGACAAAAGUGAAAAACAAUGCAUCCGGGGAUGUUUUAAGCUAUUAAAUUACCUUUUGCCUCUCUCCCGUUCUAUGCCCCUAGUUUCAGAGAAGGAAUCGAUAGAGGCAGGAAUCAAAGUAAAAUUCACACUCAUUGAAUUGUUGGGAAAACAUCCGAUGCUCACUCUCCCCUGCUAUUGCUGGAUCAAUCAGCCCCGGUUGCACUCGAACCACCUAUCUCAAAUUGCUUUAUUAAUGCAAAUUCUCUUCUUCUGGUCUGUCUAACUAACGCCGG